Magallana angulata is the source of this 987-nucleotide long non-coding RNA. RefSeq lists it as uncharacterized. The record is from RefSeq and is a predicted model, not a curated record. The transcript is spliced from 7 exons. Lineage: Eukaryota; Metazoa; Mollusca; Bivalvia; Ostreida; Ostreidae.
UACUAAAAUUACCUUCCUUUAAAAAGAGUAAAUUUGUUUGCCCGACCAAGGCCGGUUAGCCGUCAGAUACAGCCCAAAUGUAGAUAACUAAGGAGUGAAUACUGACAGAUAGUGACUGUGAUAUUUUGAAAAUGGAAUUAACAUUGAGAACUUUACCUCGUGUUUUACACAAAACACAGACUGUGAGUUGCCGUAGAAUCAGCCUGUGUCACACACGCCUCUUUCAAAAUGGUGUGAAUGAAAAGUCACUAGUUGCAGCUAGAUUGAGCACAAAGUCAGAUAUUGUAACCGAGAGGACUCUGUUCCAAAUGUUGCCUGUUGUUUACUGGCAGACUGACAGACAUAUGAGGAGAUUGCCAAAGAGUGUGAGGCUGAGGACAUACCCAAGGAAACAAACGAAGAAGGUCAAUAAGUGAUCAAGAUGCGCAUGAUGCAACUUCCUGGAUGGUGCUGAGCCUGUUGGUCAACAUGUGGAACCCCUGUGUACUUGGGGGUAGGAGUUGUCUCCCUUGUUAAAGUUCAACAAUCGCGGAUAAACAAUGCGGGAUGCUGUCUUGUCACCAAUGGUGGAAUUUGACGCCUGUAUACCUGUAUUUCUACCAAUCGUCUCAGUCCUCUUUGUUGUGUACAUCAGACAGAUGAUGGACCACUCUACUACCCUUACAACAGGUGCCCCUACAGAUUCACAAAGUUCCAAUGUUGAAUUUCCAUGACCCCAUUUGAUCUGCGACAGGAGAAGGAAUGAAGUUGGCAGGACUUUCCGCCCUGUCCUUGGUAGCAGCUGAUGAUGGAAAGGACAGAGUUGACAUGGCUCAUUUCAUCAAAGAUGCACCGAAAGCAGCGGCACUAUCUCCAUCACUGGUAAAAUGGGAAAUGACGAGUGGACGGUCAUCACUUUGCAGCUCACUGAUGCAUUCCGCAGCUGAUCUCUUUUCGUCUCCAAUGGUGGUCUCUAAAGGAAUGGUUGCAGUGCAGUCUUCAUGUCGU